RNAcentral lists this long non-coding RNA (804 nucleotides) under Rattus norvegicus (Norway rat). Its description in RNAcentral is "long non-coding RNA NONRATT013082". Lineage: Eukaryota; Metazoa; Chordata; Mammalia; Rodentia; Muridae. The record is from RNAcentral.
GACCCAAGAAAAGAACUGGAACAUUUUGCUCCGUGUACAGCAACUUCAAAGUUGCUCUAUCCUGCCCACAGUCUGCACUGAUACAUUUGAGAGUUAUGGCUCCAACUGGAUAUGCAAUAGAGGAUUGCCUAUUGGGAAUCACUUGGAGGGGAGCAUUCUUGAGAACAGUUUAUGGGAGAAGUGGUCACCUGUUUCAAGCUCCUGACACCUUGACUUCCUGGCUUUAUGGUCUGUGCCCUUCAAUUGUGAACCAUAAGUCCUUUCUCCCGAGAAGUUCACUUUCCCCACGCUCGACUUCUGCCUGAUGGACCAACACUAGAUCUCCACAUCAGUUGGGCAUCAUUAUAUGAGCCUAGUAUGGCUGUCCUCUGAGAGGCUCCGUCCAUCUUGGAGCUCAGGGUGUCUUCUGGAAGAGUUGAAGGGAGGAUUGAGAGACCCAGCGAGGAUAGAAACUACAUAAGAAGACCAAAAGAGUCAACUAACCUUAACACUGGGGAAUCUCAGAGACUGAACUACCGGUCAAAGAGCAAGCCUGCCUGGGAACUUGUUCCCACCACCCACCACAUAGCAGAUGUGCAACUUGGUCUUCAUGCAGGUUCCCCAACAACUGUACCAGGGGCUGUCCCUAACUGUUGCUUGCCUGUGCAUCCUGUUCCCCUAACUGGGCCACCUAGUCUGGCCUCAGUGGAAGAGGACACAUGAAGUGGCUACAUGUGGGUAGACUGGGAGAAGGGUGCAGGUUUCAAUCAGUGUGUAAAGUGAAAAACUAAUGAACAUUAAUAAAUAAACUAUGGUAUUUUAAAG